This 393-nucleotide ribosomal RNA is filed under the name uncultured bacterium. RNAcentral describes it as "partial 16S ribosomal RNA". It matches the Rfam family "Bacterial small subunit ribosomal RNA", at positions 523 to 918 of the family's 1533-position model. The record is from RNAcentral.
AUACGGAGGAUGCGAGCGUUAUCCGGAUUUAUUGGGUUUAAAGGGCGCGUAGGCUGUGCGUUAAGUCAGGGGAGAAAUGCCGUCGCUCAACGACGGAGCUGCCCUUGAUACUGGCGUGCUGGAGUACGGAUGUCGUUGGAGGAAUGAGUGGUGUAGCGGUGAAAUGCUUAGAUAUCACUCAGAACACCGAUUGCUAAGGCAUCUGCCGAAUCCGUCACUGACGCUGAGGCACGUAAGCGUGGGGAUGGAACAGUGUUCGAUACCCUGGUAUUCUACGCCGAAAACGAUGAUGACUAACCGUUGGCGAUAGACAGCCGGUGGCCAAGCGAAAGCGAUAAGUCAUCCACCUGGGGAGUACGUCGGCAACGAUGAAACUGAAAGGAAUUGACGGGG